Molecule: ribosomal RNA, 406 nt
Filed under: uncultured bacterium
Lineage: Bacteria
Description: partial 16S ribosomal RNA
Rfam family: Bacterial small subunit ribosomal RNA
Source: RNAcentral
AUUGAACGCUGGCGGCAGGCCUAACACAUGCAAGUCGAGCGAGCGGCGGACGGGUGAGUAAUGUAUGGGGAUCUGCCCGAUCGCGGGGGAUAACUACUGGAAACGGUGGCUAAGACCGCAUACUAUCGGAUGGACCCAUAGUGGAUUAGCUAGUAGGUGGGGUAAAGGCUCACCUAGGCGACGAUGUUUAGCUGGUCUGAGAGGAUGAUCAGCCACACUGGGACUGAGACACGGCCCAGAAUCCUACGGGAGGCAGCAGUAGGGAAUAUUGCACAAUGGGCGCAAGCCUGAUGCAGCCAUGCCGCGUGUAUGAAGAAGGUCUUAGGGUUGUAAAGUACUUUCAGCGGAGAGGCGUUACCCGAAGAAGAAGCAACGGCUAACGCCGUGCCAGCAGCCGCGGUAAUAC